RNAcentral lists this ribosomal RNA (467 nucleotides) under uncultured bacterium. Its description in RNAcentral is "partial 16S ribosomal RNA". It matches the Rfam family "Bacterial small subunit ribosomal RNA", at positions 28 to 506 of the family's 1533-position model. The record is from RNAcentral.
GACGAACGCUGGCGGCGUGCUUAACACAUGCAAGUCGAACGGAAAGGCCCUGCUUUUGUGGGGUGCUCGAGUGGCGAACGGGUGAGUAACACGUGAGUAACCUGCCCUUGACUUUGGGAUAACUUCAGGAAACUGGGGCUAAUACCGGAUAGGAGCUCCUGCUGCAUGGUGGGGGUUGGAAAGUUUCGGCGGUUGGGGAUGGACUCGCGGCUUAUCAGCUUGUUGGUGGGGUAGUGGCUUACCAAGGCUUUGACGGGUAGCCGGCCUGAGAGGGUGACCGGCCACAUUGGGCCUGGGAUACGGCCCAGACUCCUCCGGGGGGCAGCAGUGGGGAAUAUUGCACAAUGGGCGGAAGCCUGCUGCAGCAACGCCGCGUGCGGGAUGAGGGCCUUCGGGUUGUAAACCGCUUUCGCCUGUGCCGAAGCGUGAGUGACGGUAAUGGGUAAAGAAGCCCCGGCUAACUACGU